RNAcentral lists this ribosomal RNA (245 nucleotides) under uncultured bacterium. RNAcentral describes it as "partial 16S ribosomal RNA". It matches the Rfam family "Bacterial small subunit ribosomal RNA", at positions 796 to 1041 of the family's 1533-position model. The record is from RNAcentral.
CACGCCGUAAACGAUGAGUACUAGGUGUCGGGGGUAUCGACCCCCCCUGUGCCGCAGUAAACACAAUAAGUACUCCGCCUGGGAAGUACGAUCGCAAGAUUAAAACUCAAAGGAAUUGACGGGGACCCGCACAAGCAGCGGAGCAUGUGGUUUAAUUCGAAGCAACGCGAAGAACCUUACCUGGACUUGACAUCCCCGGAAUGACGCGUAAUGGAGGAAGCCCUACGGGGCAGGGAGACAGGUGG